Molecule: ribosomal RNA, 178 nt
Filed under: uncultured Petrothermobacter sp.
Lineage: Bacteria; Pseudomonadati; Deferribacterota; Deferribacteres; Deferribacterales
Description: partial 16S ribosomal RNA
Rfam family: Bacterial small subunit ribosomal RNA
Source: RNAcentral
UACGGGGGGCAGCAGUAGGGAAUCUUCCACAAUGGACGAAAGUCUGAUGGAGCAACGCCGCGUGAACGAUGAAGGCUUUCGGGUCGUAAAGUUCUGUUGUAAGGGAAGAACAAGUGCCGCAGGCAAUGGCGGCACCUUGACGGUACCUUGCGAGAAAGCCACAGGCUAUAACGAAUUC